This 45-nucleotide small RNA is filed under the name Arabidopsis thaliana (thale cress). RNAcentral's name for it is "ATSL050200". The record is from RNAcentral. Lineage: Eukaryota; Viridiplantae; Streptophyta; Magnoliopsida; Brassicales; Brassicaceae.
UAACAACAAGUAAACAUAUAAACAAGUAGACAUAUAAAAACAUAU